RNAcentral lists this ribosomal RNA (1481 nucleotides) under Lactiplantibacillus plantarum. Its description in RNAcentral is "bacterial SSU rRNA". It matches the Rfam family "Bacterial small subunit ribosomal RNA". The record is from RNAcentral. Lineage: Bacteria; Bacillati; Bacillota; Bacilli; Lactobacillales; Lactobacillaceae.
CGCUGGCGGCGUGCCUAAUACAUGCAAGUCGAACGAACUCUGGUAUUGAUUGGUGCUUGCAUCAUGAUUUACAUUUGAGUGAGUGGCGAACUGGUGAGUAACACGUGGGAAACCUGCCCAGAAGCGGGGGAUAACACCUGGAAACAGAUGCUAAUACCGCAUAACAACUUGGACCGCAUGGUCCGAGUUUGAAAGAUGGCUUCGGCUAUCACUUUUGGAUGGUCCCGCGGCGUAUUAGCUAGAUGGUGAGGUAACGGCUCACCAUGGCAAUGAUACGUAGCCGACCUGAGAGGGUAAUCGGCCACAUUGGGACUGAGACACGGCCCAAACUCCUACGGGAGGCAGCAGUAGGGAAUCUUCCACAAUGGACGAAAGUCUGAUGGAGCAACGCCGCGUGAGUGAAGAAGGGUUUCGGCUCGUAAAACUCUGUUGUUAAAGAAGAACAUAUCUGAGAGUAACUGUUCAGGUAUUGACGGUAUUUAACCAGAAAGCCACGGCUAACUACGUGCCAGCAGCCGCGGUAAUACGUAGGUGGCAAGCGUUGUCCGGAUUUAUUGGGCGUAAAGCGAGCGCAGGCGGUUUUUUAAGUCUGAUGUGAAAGCCUUCGGCUCAACCGAAGAAGUGCAUCGGAAACUGGGAAACUUGAGUGCAGAAGAGGACAGUGGAACUCCAUGUGUAGCGGUGAAAUGCGUAGAUAUAUGGAAGAACACCAGUGGCGAAGGCGGCUGUCUGGUCUGUAACUGACGCUGAGGCUCGAAAGUAUGGGUAGCAAACAGGAUUAGAUACCCUGGUAGUCCAUACCGUAAACGAUGAAUGCUAAGUGUUGGAGGGUUUCCGCCCUUCAGUGCUGCAGCUAACGCAUUAAGCAUUCCGCCUGGGGAGUACGGCCGCAAGGCUGAAACUCAAAGGAAUUGACGGGGGCCCGCACAAGCGGUGGAGCAUGUGGUUUAAUUCGAAGCUACGCGAAGAACCUUACCAGGUCUUGACAUACUAUGCAAAUCUAAGAGAUUAGACGUUCCCUUCGGGGACAUGGAUACAGGUGGUGCAUGGUUGUCGUCAGCUCGUGUCGUGAGAUGUUGGGUUAAGUCCCGCAACGAGCGCAACCCUUAUUAUCAGUUGCCAGCAUUAAGUUGGGCACUCUGGUGAGACUGCCGGUGACAAACCGGAGGAAGGUGGGGAUGACGUCAAAUCAUCAUGCCCCUUAUGACCUGGGCUACACACGUGCUACAAUGGAUGGUACAACGAGUUGCGAACUCGCGAGAGUAAGCUAAUCUCUUAAAGCCAUUCUCAGUUCGGAUUGUAGGCUGCAACUCGCCUACAUGAAGUCGGAAUCGCUAGUAAUCGCGGAUCAGCAUGCCGCGGUGAAUACGUUCCCGGGCCUUGUACACACCGCCCGUCACACCAUGAGAGUUUGUAACACCCAAAGUCGGUGGGGUAACCUUUUAGGAACCAGCCGCCUAAGGUGGGACAGAUGAUUAGGG